Molecule: ribosomal RNA, 253 nt
Filed under: uncultured bacterium
Lineage: Bacteria
Description: partial 16S ribosomal RNA
Rfam family: Bacterial small subunit ribosomal RNA
Source: RNAcentral
GACGUAGGGCGCGAGCGUUGUCCGGAUUUAUUGGGCGUAAAGAGCUCGUAGGCGGCUUGUUACGUCGGUUGUGAAAACCCGCAGCUUAACUGUGGGCUUGCAGCUGAUACGGGUGGGCUAGAGUUCGGUAGGGGAGACUGGAAUUCCUGGUGUAGCGGUGAAAUGCGCAGAUAUCAGGAGGAACACCGGUGGCGAAGGCGGGUCUCUGGGCCGAUACUGACGCUGAGGAGCGAAAGCGUGGGGAGCGUACAGG